CCUACGGGUGGCAGCAGUAGGGAAUAUUGCACAAUGGACGAAACUCUGAUGCAGCAACGCCGCGUGAAUGAAGAAGGAUUUCGGAUUGUAAAGCUCUUUUGGUAGGGAAGAAAAUGACGGUAUGUAACUCAUCAUCACCGGCUAAUAACGUGCUAGCAGCCGCGGUAAGACGGCGGGCGCAAAGGUUAUUCGGAAUCAUUGUGCGUAAAGCGGGCGGAGGCGGGUGAGCAAGUCUGAUGUGAAAUCCUAUGGCUCAACCGCAGAAUUGCAUCUGAAACUGUUAUUCUAGAGUGGAGGAGAGGUAGGUGGAAUUCCUGGUGUAGCGGUGAAAUGCGUAGAGAUCAGGAGGAACACCAAUGGCGAAGGCGGCUUACUAGACUAUAACUGACGUUGAGGCGCGAAAGCGUGGGGAGCAAACAGGAUUAGAUACCCUGGUAGUC
This 440-nucleotide ribosomal RNA is filed under the name uncultured bacterium. Its description in RNAcentral is "partial 16S ribosomal RNA". It matches the Rfam family "Bacterial small subunit ribosomal RNA", at positions 338 to 795 of the family's 1533-position model. The record is from RNAcentral.